RNAcentral lists this ribosomal RNA (253 nucleotides) under uncultured bacterium. Its description in RNAcentral is "partial 16S ribosomal RNA". It matches the Rfam family "Bacterial small subunit ribosomal RNA", at positions 524 to 776 of the family's 1533-position model. The record is from RNAcentral.
UACAGAGGUCUCAAGCGUUGUUCGGAUUCAUUGGGCGUAAAGGGCGCGUAGGUGGCCUUUUGAGUCAGACGUGAAAUCCCCCGGCUUAACCUGGGAACUGCGUCUGAUACUGGAAGGCUUGAGUUCGGGAGAGGGAUGUGGAAUUCCAGGUGUAGCGGUGAAAUGCGUAGAUAUCUGGAGGAACACCGGUGGCGAAGGCGGCAUCCUGGACCGAAACUGACACUGAGGCGCGAAAGCCAGGGGAGCAAACGGG